RNAcentral lists this ribosomal RNA (254 nucleotides) under uncultured bacterium. RNAcentral's name for it is "partial 16S ribosomal RNA". It matches the Rfam family "Bacterial small subunit ribosomal RNA", at positions 524 to 776 of the family's 1533-position model. The record is from RNAcentral.
UACGGAGGGGGCAAGCGUUGUUCGGAAUUACUGGGCGUAAAGGGCGCGCAGGCGGCUGCUCAAGUCAGGCGUGAAAGGCCUGGGCUCAACCCGGGAAUUGCGCUUGAGACUGGGCUGGCUUGAGUGCGGGAGAGGAUGGUGGAAUUCCCAGUGUAGAGGUGAAAUUCGUAGAUAUCCGGAGGAACACCGGUGGCGAAGGCGGCUUCCUGGACCGACACUGACGCUGAGGCGCGAAAGCUAGGGGAGCAAACGGG